This 532-nucleotide ribosomal RNA is filed under the name uncultured bacterium. RNAcentral describes it as "bacterial SSU rRNA". It matches the Rfam family "Bacterial small subunit ribosomal RNA", at positions 355 to 901 of the family's 1533-position model. The record is from RNAcentral.
UGGGGAAUCUUGCACAAUGGGCGAAAGCCUGAUGCAGCAACGCCGCGUGCGGGAAGACAGCCCUAGGGUUGUAAACCGCUUUCAGCAGGGGAAGAAACUGACGGUACCUGCAGAAGAAGAUGCGGCCAACUACGUGCCAGCAGCCGCGGUGACACGUAGGCAUCAAGCGUUAUCCGGAUUUAUUGGGCGUAAAGAGCUCGUAGGCGGUUCGGUAAGUCGGGUGUGAAAACUCUGGGCUCAACCCAGAGAGGCCACUCGAUACUGCUGUGACUCGAGUGCAGUAGGGGAGCAGGGAAUUCCUGGUGUAGCGGUGAAAUGCGCAGAUAUCAGGAGGGAACACCAGUGGCGAAGGCGCUGCUCUGGGCUGUAACUGACGCUGAGGAGCGAAAGCAUGGGUAGCAAACAGGAUUAGAUACCCUGGUAGUCCAUGCCGUAAACGUUGGGCACUAGGUGUGGGUCUCAACCAACGAGAUCCGCGCCGUCGCUAACGCAUUAAGUGCCCGCCUGGGAGUACGGUCGCAAGACUAAAACU